GCCCAGAUGGCUGAGUGGUUAAAGCGCAUGCUUGGAGAGCAUGUUUCCUUACGGAUUCGCAGGUUCGAAUCCUGCUCUGGGCG
Molecule: transfer RNA, 83 nt
Filed under: Candidatus Pacearchaeota archaeon
Lineage: Archaea; Nanobdellati
Description: tRNA-Ser
Rfam family: tRNA
About the family: Transfer RNA (tRNA) molecules are approximately 80 nucleotides in length.
Source: RNAcentral